This 486-nucleotide ribosomal RNA is filed under the name uncultured bacterium. Its description in RNAcentral is "partial 16S ribosomal RNA". It matches the Rfam family "Bacterial small subunit ribosomal RNA", at positions 355 to 831 of the family's 1533-position model. The record is from RNAcentral.
UGGGGAAUAUUGCACAAUGGGCACAAGCCUGAUGCAGCCAUGCCGCGUGUGUGAAGAAGGCCUUCGGGUUGUAAAGCACUUUCAGCGAGGAGGAAGGUGGUGAGCUUAAUACGCUCAUCAAUUGACGUUACUCGCAGAAGAAGCACCGGCUAACUCCGUGCCAGCAGCCGCGGUAAUACGGAGGGUGCAAGCGUUAAUCGGAAUUACUGGGCGUAAAGCGCACGCAGGCGGUUUGUUAAGUCAGAUGUGAAAUCCCCGGGCUCAACCUGGGUACUGCAUUUGAAACUGGCAAGCUAGAGUCUCGUAGAGGGGGGUAGAAUUUCCAGGUGUAGCGAUGAAAUGCGUAGAGAUCUGGAGGAAUACCGGUGGCGAAGGCGGCCCCCUGGACGAAGACUGACGCUCAGGUGCGAAAGCGUGGGGAGCAAACAGGAUUAGAUACCCGUGGUAGUCCACGCUGUAAACGAUGUCGAUUUGGAGGUUGUGCCC